CACGUAGGGGGCAAGCGUUGUCCGGAUUUAUUGGGCGUAAAGGGCUCGUAGGCGGUUCGGCAAGUCGGGUGUGAAAGCCCCAGGCUCAACCCGGGAACUGCACUCGAAACUGCCUUUCUUGAGUGCCGGAGAGGAAAGCGGAAUUCCUGGUGUAGAGGUGAAAUUCGUAGAUAUCAGGAGGAACACCAGUGGCGAAGGCGGCUUUCUGGACGGUAACUGACGCUGAGACGCGAAAGCGUGGGGAGCAAACAGG
Molecule: ribosomal RNA, 253 nt
Filed under: uncultured bacterium
Lineage: Bacteria
Description: partial 16S ribosomal RNA
Rfam family: Bacterial small subunit ribosomal RNA
Source: RNAcentral